Cyanoderma ruficeps (rufous-capped babbler) is the source of this 1732-nucleotide long non-coding RNA. Lineage: Eukaryota; Metazoa; Chordata; Aves; Passeriformes; Timaliidae. The record is from Ensembl.
GUUACCAAGAGCUCAAGAGAGGAACUCAAGAAGUGUUCCUUGAAAUUAUGAAGACAAAUAUGUUAAAAACCUGGACAUUUUAUCUUUGGGUGAAGAUGCAAUUUCUUUUCCCUUUCUUCAAAUGACUAGCACAAUUUCUGAUACCCCUAAACUCUUUCUUAUGGAGCCAGUUGUGCAAGUAGGGGAGAUUCCAGGAAAACAGUGAGCUUAAAUAUGAAAGGAGAGACCUGUCUCAGUAAUUUAAGAGAGGAAGGAAAAGAUGAGUGAGGUUUUGAGCUGAUAAGACUGACUAGGUGAUAUUCCUCAAUAACACUCAGCAGUUUGAUUUUUGUUCUUAUUUUGAUGAGGCAGUUUCUUGAGAAGAAUGGGGACCGGCUUCAUUUUUGUUUGUUUUUAGAGUGAACAAUGGUGUCCUCCCUCUUUCCUUGAACAAUGGGAAUACAAUAUUACAGCUCGUGUUUUGUUAAAACUAUCAAAGUAGCACAUCUGUCCCAAAGAGCUCACUUUUGCCAGGGCUGGCUACAGACACACACAGAGACACAAGCACUGUGAGCCUCAACCCCAGAGUCACAGCAAUCCAGGUGGACUCAGUAUCGUGUUUUCUGUCACUGUCCAUUCUUCCUUCUACAGGGCAGUGCCUGUGUUCCCAUGCUCCUCUGAUGCAUUACAUGAUCCAAUGUCCUGUUGCUUUCCUACCAUUGCACCCUUCAGUGUCUAUGCCAUCCCAAGGGCUUUAUGAUUUCUAUUCUUGCAUUUUCAUUCUUCUCAAAGACACAGGAUUUUACUCCAUGCCCUUCUGUUUGCUUUCAGUGCUCCCCUCGUGUCCUUGUACAGCUCGUUCUUCAGAUGUGGUUGAUUCAAGACAGGGUGUUGGGUUGCUGCCACCAGAAGGGGUGGUUCUGCUCCCUCCAGAGCCAUUUUCCUCGGCAUCACUCUUGUCAAGCCCUUUGUGGGCCGUGAGAUGAUACAAUGCUGUCCAUGAAUUCACUGAAACUUAAUGUUGUAAUUCUAUGUUGGAGAGCUUUUACAAAGCAGUACUGAAAUACUAAGUCCUGGAAAAUUAGGCUUACAAGAAUUUUGUGCAAGUGCACAGCUGAAUUUGUAUUAUUAACAUCCUUGUUUUGUGUUCAGAGUGAUAGUAAGUGCUACAGAGCUGUAAUUAGUGCUGGGUGGUGAUUGAGCCUUGCUAUCAUUCUGCAUCAGUUUGUUACUGUUAGAGUCACCUGAACCUGUUCCUUGCUCAUCCAGUCAGCUAAUUAGUGACUUAGAGAAAAGGUGGCAUUUAUUUGUACUAGAAGAAAUGGCCUUUUAUUUUUAUGCAGAAGGAAAAAACAGGUCAAAAAACAACUCGCUCCUUCUUCAUCCACUUGCAGUGCAAGGCAAGAUGAUAACGCUUAUCCCAUCAGGAGGUAGAUUUCACUUUUUUCUUCAUUUCCUGUUGCAUUAGGCUUGUAUUUUCUUCCUGGAAUUAUUCUCUCUUUUUUGUUGUUGUUUUGGGUGUGUUUUGUUGUUUGUUCAUUUGUGGUUUUUUUGGGGUGUAUGUGUGUACCCUCAGAUUGGUGGUAAUGCUGGGACCAUGUUCUGGAGUUUUCAUUAAAAAGCAGAUUCCUAAAAAGGAUUUCUCCUUUAGAUUAAAGCUUCCUCACUGUGUGAUUGAAUUCUGACUGGCGGUGAUAGGCAGACAAUAGAUGAAGACUCUGUCCUCACCUAUUUACCAAAUUGUUCAAAUGGU